AUGGCCCACGCCGGCGCCGCCAAGCCCGAUCCGGAGAAGAAGUCCUGGGCCGACGUCGAGGAGGAGGAGGAGGCCAAGGCCAAGGCGGAGGCGGAGGCCGAGCUCGCCGCCGCCGCCGCCUCCUCCUGCUCCUCCUCCUCCGCCCCCAUCGAGCCGGUGGUGGAGGCGCAGGCGAAGCAGAUCGAGGCGCUCUCGCUCUCCGUGCCGGACGACGACGGCGGCGCCGAGGGCCCGCCCCUGCUCGACGACUCCGACGACUCCCAAAUCCAAGCCGUGACCUCGGGCGGCACGGUGUACGAGUCGGCCACGACCUUCGAGGACGUGAAGCUCACCCCCGAGCUGCUCAAGGGGCUGCACGACGAGAUGGGGUUCAGCCGCCCCAGCAAGAUCCAGGCCAUCACGCUCCCCAUGAUCCUCACGCCGCCCUACAGGGACCUCGUCGCGCAGGCGCACAACGGCUCCGGCAAGACCACCUGCUUCGUCCUCGGCAUGCUCAGCCGCGUCGACCCCAACCGCAAGAUGCCCCAGGCCAUCUGCAUCUGCCCCACCAGGGAGCUCGCGCAGCAGAAUAAAUCUGUGCUCAUGAGGAUGGGCAAGUUUACCGGCAUUACCUGUGCCUGUGCAACCCCGCCGGCUCAGAAAGAUUAUAUGCCCAUCAGCAAAAUGGCUCCGGUGACCGAUCAGGUGGUGAUUGGCACUUCUGGGACGCUCACCAAGUGGAUUACCCAUAAGAAGCUUGCCACUAGGGAGAUCAAGAUUCUUGUGUUCGACGAGGCAGACCAUAUGCUUGCCGAGGAGGGCUUUAAGACUGAUUCUUUAAGGAUCAUGAAGGAUAUACAAAAUAGUGCUGGCGGUUGCCAGGUGCUUCUCUUCUCUGCGACCUUCAAUGAGAAAGUGAAGGAGUUUGUUACAAAGGCCAUUAAGGACGGAAACCAAAUAUUUGUGAAGAAGGAAGAUCUUACUUUGGAAAAAGUAAAGCAAUAUAAAGUCCGAGUCCCUGAUGAGGCGGCCAAAAUAGAGGUUAUAAGGGACAAGAUCUUUGAGUUUGGGCAAAAGGUUGGACAGGUUAUCAUCUUUGUGAGAACAAGAAAUAGUACUAAGAAUGUACAUAAUGCUUUGACAAAAGAGGACUAUGUGUGCUCCUCAAUUCAAGGAUCCCUUGACCAAGCAGAGAGGGAAAAAGUAAUUCAGGAAUUCAAAGAUGGGUACACCAAGGUUCUUAUAUCAACUGAUGUUCUUGCUCGAGGUUUUGACCAAGCACAGGUUAACCUGGUCAUCAACUACGACAUGCCAAUCAAGUAUAAUACGAGAGAUGAACCUGAUUAUGAGGUGUACCUGCACAGAAUUGGCAGAGCUGGGCGCUUUGGCCGAAAAGGAGCUGUGUUCAACCUGCUAUGUGGUCAAACUGAUGAAGUUGUGAUGACAAAGAUCGAGGACUACUUCCAGCACAAAGUGCCUGAGGUCCCCAACUGGAAAAGCGAGGACAAUUUUGAGACUGCUCUUAAGGAUGCGGGUUUACUUGAGUAA
This 1527-nucleotide ribosomal RNA is filed under the name Triticum aestivum (bread wheat). RNAcentral describes it as "partial small subunit ribosomal RNA". Lineage: Eukaryota; Viridiplantae; Streptophyta; Magnoliopsida; Poales; Poaceae. The record is from RNAcentral.